UCCGACUGGCUUCCAGGCAGCCAAGACCCCCUCGAAGUGGUCAUGAAAAGUGUAACUUUAGCCUCUCAGCUGUACGUCUCAAUCCAUAAUCCUUCCCCAAAAACCUCACGGUAGAGCCGCCUACCACUCCCAUGGCGUUCCCAGCCUGUGCCGGGCUGGGCCUGCCUGAUUUAUGUAGCAGUCCUGUGUCAUACUCUCAACCUGAAAGGGAUUUGCUCUCCUAUAUUUACCAGGGUGGUCAGGGCAACUCUCUGGAAACACAGAAAGCCCAGUCUCUGGGCCUCACUCCCAGACAGUUGUUUCACCCUCCUGUGUCAAUAACGUGGACAGUUUGGACCUUAACAGAGUCAGAUGAGGCUCCAGAGUUCCCAUAGAGGGGUGUUUCAGCAGUGCAGAGGUCAGAGUCCGUGCACUCACGCCAACGCAGCCACAUGGCCACGUUUUGGUAUGCAGAUACACAGACGCAGGCCAGGAAGGGAGGGAUGCUGCCAGGAGCCACGCCGCGGAGCUAUCGACCCUGCCACUUUCCCAUCCUGUGGGUGACAGCUGCGGUGCCAACGAGCCUGGGGACGCCACGCUGCCCUGCCACGUAGGAAGGACGGCCAGCAACUCUGCCUCGGUGCUGACGGGGAGGGAAAGUCACAAAUGAUCUGCUCGUGAAUGUCACAUCCAUGUAAACAACCCCAGCAAACACUUUGCUGUUGAGUUGAGUCCGAUACGGUGACCUGUUCCACUGUGACAAAAAAAACAAAAAAAAUGUUUUCGACUCAAAACUUUUUCUGAAUCUGUUUCAAUGUAAGUUUUACCGAGUUACAAAAAAUGUUUGAGGAUGUGCAGCUGAAAGUAGAGGUUGUAUAAACAAAGGAAAAGUUGCCACAGAUGCUUUUAACAACAUUGGGUUAAAAAUGGGUUCUUUUAAAUUUACUUCAAAUCGUGUUGAGUACAGUCGGACCAAAUGCUGGGAAUGCAACCUUUUGUACGUAAAAAGUUGAAGUCACAUCUACAAAGCCCCGAUCCCUGCAUAAUCCUUUGUAAACUGUUAAAAGUUGUGUUGGCAAUUUAAGUGUUUUUGGCAUGUGUUGUGCACUUAAAGUGUUACCGUAGGGAAUAUAUUUUCUCAUGCUGCACCAUGUUGCUAAGAUAUGCCUGAUGUUGUGCUUCCUAGUGUACUUUGUAACGCAGAUGGCACACCACUGUAUACCUUUUAUCAGAGCACACACCCCCCCAACACACACACACUUUUUUUUUU
Mugil cephalus (flathead mullet) is the source of this 1249-nucleotide long non-coding RNA. RefSeq lists it as uncharacterized. Lineage: Eukaryota; Metazoa; Chordata; Actinopteri; Mugiliformes; Mugilidae. The record is from RefSeq and is a predicted model, not a curated record. The transcript is spliced from 3 exons.